UUCUCUACACGUAUACAUUUCUGUGAGAUCUCACCACUCAGAAAAGUAAAAAUGAACUACAAUGAUGAGGCACACCACUUAAGGGAGCGAAAGACGGAGCUGUUCAAGUCUUUUCAAGAUCAGCAGGAUUUGGUUGCUGUCAUCAACCAGCUGUGAGGAAAGAAACCUAACGUGCGGAAUGACAGUAAAUUGGAAAAAACCCAACAACUUUAGCAGCCUGAAACUAUCGUAGAAAUCCUUUUUCUUAUAUCAGCUGUCUUAAAAACAUAACAAAGACCCGUACUUCAUUUCUUAUCAGGGUAGAUUGCCAUUAGGCUGCAGACCUAACUGCAGAGCAAGUUAUUUUCAAAACUAUUGACCAAGAUCACCAGGACCAAGGAAGAGAUGGCCUAGUUUUGGCCUCUCAUGAUUAUUAUCCCCAGAACAAAAAUGUAGGGUACUGCCUUUGAGCAGUAACCAAUCUCUUCCCAGUGCAACAUGUUUGAUGGAAGUGGCACUUCGGAGUGUUGACACAUGAUGCAUCGGUGAUGAUUUCACAGAACACAUGUGAAAACCAUUUACUCAGUAGUGUCUCAGCGUUGGAGUAUGUGAAAAGAAGUGGAUGAAGAAGAGAAUUGAAUGAAAAAGUAAUGGACAUGUGUACGCUGAGUACAUGUGCUACUAUAUAAGAACGUUCCACACAGUGCCUUGAAGAUCUUUGUCAGUUCCAAUGCAUUCAGUCCUGCAUGUGACCAUUUUAGAACAUACUUGUGGCUACAAUAUAGCAAUGCACACUUUUUUAAAUUUUUUUGUUUUUACAUAUAACCAGGGAUUUGACAUUAUAAAAGCUCUAAUUUGUGAAUGGUUUAUGGUAUACUGGAAAUAUUAACUAUUAAACUUGUUCCAGUGGAGAUGAACCAUAUGGGCUUUCUAAGAGGCAGGGGCAUGAAAAAAUUAGACUGUUCUUUUGUGGAGUUAAGUCAGAUGGUCAUUUUAAACAAUGUAAAAAUAAACUCUUUUUUUCAUUCAGUUUACAAGACUGUUAAGUUGGAAGAGUGAAAACAUACAUUAGUUGAAAUUAGUCAUACUAAUGAUGUCAUAACACUAUACAGUGUUUAUACAAUGCUCCUGAUAAACGUGUAGCUGAAUAAUGUGCCCGAAAAUCAAAACACUGACCCCUUUCUCUCCCAAACAGCCAAAAUUAGAUCCAGAGAACAGAACAUUUAAAGACUUUACAGAUGGA
This is a long non-coding RNA of Oreochromis niloticus (Nile tilapia), 1222 nucleotides long. RefSeq lists it as uncharacterized. NCBI's taxonomy places the organism in Eukaryota, Metazoa, Chordata, Actinopteri, Cichliformes, Cichlidae. The record is from RefSeq and is a predicted model, not a curated record. The transcript is spliced from 3 exons.